RNAcentral lists this long non-coding RNA (313 nucleotides) under Notechis scutatus (mainland tiger snake). RNAcentral's name for it is "Nuclear RNase P (ENSNSUG00000016796.1)". It matches the Rfam family "Nuclear RNase P", at positions 88 to 301 of the family's 301-position model. From Rfam's summary of the family: Ribonuclease P (RNase P) is a ubiquitous endoribonuclease, found in archaea, bacteria and eukarya as well as chloroplasts and mitochondria. Its best characterised activity is the generation of mature 5'-ends of tRNAs by cleaving the 5'-leader elements of precursor-tRNAs. Cellular RNase Ps are ribonucleoproteins. Lineage: Eukaryota; Metazoa; Chordata; Lepidosauria; Squamata; Elapidae. The record is from Rfam by way of RNAcentral.
AGAGCCAAGGAAGCAAAAUAAAGGUAUGAUAAUGUUACCCCCAAUAAGAAGCACAGGGAUGGAUGACUGACUUAAUUGCUGGAAGAAAAAUCUUCACAGAGGCCUCUUGCUGGGUACCUUGAGAAGGUGGUUGAGUUCCCAGCAAUGCAGUUCUCCAUUAAAACUCCAGAUUAAGGAAGGAGAAGUGGCAAAGGGGGCCACAUGGGAUUACACAAGGUUUGAGACAAACUCAUGACCAGCCACUUUUGAGUACAAUUGGAAGAGAUGAAAUACUAGUGAUUCACAACCCAGUUCAGACUAGUCUCCCCACUUU